AGAGUUUGAUCAUGGCUCAGGACGAACGCUGGCGGCGUGCUUAACACAUGCAAGUCGAGCGGUAAGGCCCCUUCGGGGGUACACGAGCGGCGAACGGGUGAGUAACACGUGGGUGACCUGCCCUCAGCUCUGGGAUAAGCCUGGGAAACUGGGUCUAAUACCGGAUAUGACCUGGCCUCGCAUGGGGUUGGGUGGAAAGUUUUUCGGCUGGGGAUGGGCCCGCGGCCUAUCAGCUUGUUGGUGGGGUGAUGGCCUACCAAGGCGACGACGGGUAGCCGGCCUGAGAGGGCGACCGGCCACACUGGGACUGAGACACGGCCCAGACUCCUACGGGAGGCAGCAGUGGGGAAUAUUGCGCAAUGGGCGAAAGCCUGACGCAGCGACGCCGCGUGGGGGAUGACGGCCUUCGGGUUGUAAACCUCUUUCGACCGGGACGAAGCGCAAGUGACGGUACCGGUAGAAGAAGCACCGGCCAACUACGUGCCAGCAGCCGCGGUAAUACGUAGGGUGCGAGCGUUGUCCGGAAUUAUUGGGCGUAAAGAGCUCGUAGGCGGUGUGUCGCGUCGGUCGUGAAAACUUGGGGCUUAACCCUGAGCUUGCGGUCGAUACGGGCAUCACUUGAGUUCGGCAGGGGAGACUGGAAUUCCUGGUGUAGCGGUGAAAUGCGCAGAUAUCAGGAGGAACACCGGUGGCGAAGGCGGGUCUCUGGGCCGAUACUGACGCUGAGGAGCGAAAGCGUGGGGAGCGAACAGGAUUAGAUACCCUAGUAGUCC
Molecule: ribosomal RNA, 773 nt
Filed under: uncultured bacterium
Lineage: Bacteria
Description: bacterial SSU rRNA
Rfam family: Bacterial small subunit ribosomal RNA
Source: RNAcentral